This 472-nucleotide ribosomal RNA is filed under the name uncultured bacterium. RNAcentral's name for it is "bacterial SSU rRNA". It matches the Rfam family "Bacterial small subunit ribosomal RNA", at positions 8 to 526 of the family's 1533-position model. The record is from RNAcentral.
AGAGUUUGAUUCUGGCUCAGAACGAACGCUGGCGGCAGGCCUUAUACAUGCAAGUCGAGCGCAUCCUUCGGGGUGAGCGGCGGACGGGUGAGUAACGCGUGGGAAUGUGCCCUUCUCUACGGAAUAGCCACUGGAAACGGUGAGUAAUACCGUAUACGCCCUUAGGGGGAAAGAUUUAUCGGAGAAGGAUCAGCCCGCGUUAGAUUAGGUAGUUGGUGGGGUAACGGCCUACCAAGCCUACGAUCUAUAGCUGGUUUUAGAGGAUGAUCAGCCACACUGGGACUGAGACACGGCCCAGACUCCUACGGGAGGCAGCAGUAGGGAAUCUUGGACAAUGGGGGAAACCCUGAUCCAGCCAUGCCGCGUGAGUGAAGAAGGCCUUAGGGUCGUAAAGCUCUUUCGCCUGUGAUGAUAAUGACAGUAGCAGGUAAAGAAACCCCGGCUAACUCCGUGCCAGCCGCCGCGGUAAUAC